GUCUAGUGGCGCACGGGUGCGUAACGCGUGGGAAUCUGCCCUUAGGUUCGGAAUAACUCAGAGAAAUUUGAGCUAAUACCGGAUGAUGACGUAAGUCCAAAGAUUUAUCGCCUAGGGAUGAGCCCGCGUAGGAUUAGGUAGUUGGUGGGGUAAAGGCUCACCAAGCCGACGAUCCUUAGCUGGUCUGAGAGGAUGAUCAGCCACACUGGGACUGAGACACGGCCCAGACUCCUACGGGAGGCAGCAGUGGGGAAUAUUGGACAAUGGGCGAAAGCCUGAUCCAGCAAUGCCGCGUGAGUGAUGAAGGCCUUAGGGUUGUAAAGCUCUUUUACCCGGGAUGAUAAUGACAGUACCGGGAGAAUAAGCCCCGGCUAACUCCGUGCCAGCAGCCGCGGUAAUACGGAGGGGGCUAGCGUUGUUCGGAAUUACUGGGCGUAAAGCGUACGUAGGCGGUUAUUCAAGUCAGAGGUGAAAGCCUGGAGCUCAACUCCAGAACUGCCUUUGAAA
RNAcentral lists this ribosomal RNA (507 nucleotides) under uncultured Sphingomonas sp. RNAcentral describes it as "bacterial SSU rRNA". It matches the Rfam family "Bacterial small subunit ribosomal RNA", at positions 90 to 632 of the family's 1533-position model. The record is from RNAcentral. Lineage: Bacteria; Pseudomonadati; Pseudomonadota; Alphaproteobacteria; Sphingomonadales; Sphingomonadaceae.